Molecule: ribosomal RNA, 240 nt
Filed under: uncultured bacterium
Lineage: Bacteria
Description: partial 16S ribosomal RNA
Rfam family: Bacterial small subunit ribosomal RNA
Source: RNAcentral
CAAUCCAUGAGUAAAGUGGCGACCGGGUGAGUAACACGUGACUAACCUACCUUCGAGUGGGGAAUAACCUCGGGAAACCGGGGCUAAUACCGCAUAAUGUCUUCGGACCAAAGGAGCAAUUCGCUUGAAGAGGGGGUCGCGGCCGAUUAGCUAGUUGGCGGGGUAAUGGCCCACCAAGGCGAUGAUCGGUAGCCGGCCUGAGAGGGCGCACGGCCACACUGGAACUGAAACACGGUCCAG